RNAcentral lists this ribosomal RNA (465 nucleotides) under uncultured bacterium. RNAcentral describes it as "partial 16S ribosomal RNA". It matches the Rfam family "Bacterial small subunit ribosomal RNA", at positions 28 to 507 of the family's 1533-position model. The record is from RNAcentral.
GACGAACGCUGGCGGCGUGCUUAACACAUGCAAGUCGAACGGAAAGGCCCUGCUUGCAGGGUAGUCGAGUGGCGAACGGGUGAGUAACACGUGGGUGAUCUGCCCUGCACUUCGGGAUAAGCCUGGGAAACUGGGUUUAAUACCGGAUAGGAGCCCUUUUUGGUGUGAUGGUUGGAAAGUUUUUUCGGUGUAGGAUGAGCUCGCGGCCUAUCAGCUUGUUGGUGGGGUAAUGGCCUACCAAGGCGGCGACGGGUAGCCGGCCUGAGAGGGUGGACGGCCACAUUGGGACUGAGAUACGGCCCAGACUCCUACGGGAGGCAGCAGUGGGGAAUAUUGCACAAUGGGCGCAAGCCUGAUGCAGCGACGCCGCGUGGGGGAUGACGGCCUUCGGGUUGUAAACUCCUUUCGCUAGGGACGAAGCUUUUUGUGACGGUACCUAGAUAAGAAGCACCGGCUAACUACGUG